GUAGGUGAACCUGCGGAAGGAUCAUUAAAGAACGCCCCGUUUUUUGAAAUGGGUAACUUCUAAACCGUGUUUACAUACCUUUGUUGCUUUGGCAGGCCGCCUCUCGAGGCGUCGGCUCCGGCUGACUGCGCCUGCCAGAGGACCCAAACUCUUUUGUUUAGUAAUGUCUGAGUACUAUAUAAUAGUUAAAACUUUCAACAACGGAUCUCGUGGUUCUGGCAUCGAUGAAGAACGCAGCAUCUGACUGACU
Molecule: unclassified non-coding RNA, 250 nt
Filed under: plant metagenome
Description: partial contains small subunit ribosomal RNA, internal transcribed spacer 1, and 5.8S ribosomal RNA
Source: RNAcentral